GACGAACGCUGGCGGCGUGCCUAACACAUGCAAGUUGAGCGACGAACCAGGGCUUGCCCUGGGGCAAAGCAGCGAACGGGUGAGUAACACGUGGGUAACCUACCCCGAUAACCGGGACAACCCGAGGAAACUCGGGCUAAUACCGGAUGUGCUCACUGGACUUCGGUUCAGUGCGUAAAGGAAGCUUCGGCCUCCGUAUCGGGAGGGGCCCGCGGCCCAUUAGUUUGUUGGUGAGGUAACGGCUCACCAAGACCGCGAUGGGUAGCUGGUCUGAGAGGACGAUCACCACCACGGGACUGGAGACACGGCCCAAACCCCUAGGGGAGGGAGGAGGGGGGAAUCUUGCGAAAGGCGAGAAGGGGGGACGAAGCAACGCCGGGGGGGGGAAGAAGGCCUCGGGGUUUUAAACCCCUUUCAGGGGGGACGAAGGGUGGGCGGUGAAAAGCCGGCCGGACGGACGGUACCCCCACAAGAAGCCCCGGCGAAAUACGG
Molecule: ribosomal RNA, 492 nt
Filed under: uncultured bacterium
Lineage: Bacteria
Description: partial 16S ribosomal RNA
Rfam family: Bacterial small subunit ribosomal RNA
Source: RNAcentral